Molecule: long non-coding RNA, 3111 nt
Organism: Haemorhous mexicanus (house finch)
Lineage: Eukaryota; Metazoa; Chordata; Aves; Passeriformes; Fringillidae
Exons: 3
Source: RefSeq, a predicted model, not a curated record
AGCCAGGAAAAUGUCCACACUGGCAGAAGUCUUUACUGACGAGGACACUCAUCCCUCUGCAGUGUGCUAGCAGGAAUCAGAGUGCCUGGCGAGCCCCUGCUCUCUAAACCAGACUUUGCAAGUUUGACCUGAGGAUGAAAUACUCUGAAAGAAACCUUACUAUAUUAUGGAAAUCAAACCUUCAGAACUAAAAUUCCAGCAACAACAGUUUUCCAAGUUGUUUUGCAUCCUAUUUUUAAAUUUAUUUUAUUUCAUUAUGUAUUUCAAUAGUUACACUAUUUUUUACAGAACUUCUGGAUACCUGAGUUUUCUUUGCAGUUUAUUGGGACUCCAAAGUGGUCAGAAGUCCAAGAGGUGUGAGGAAGCUUCAAGUCUUCCCUGUUCAGACCCUAAAGAAGCAUCUGAGAGUCUUGCUGGAUUGUGAAGAACAAGAAGGUGACAUGCAAGCAGACCAGGAUCAUCUACAUGGAGACUGCUUCUUGCUGCUGCCCCUGUGAAUUUUAUGUUUUAGAGCAAAAAGCAUGGCAGUGUCAUGGCUUAUAUGAGUGUUUACAUGAACACAAGCACAGGUCUGCACUCAACGUGGUUUGAAUUAAAAGACUGCUGUCCAAGUGAAUGGCAUGUGCUACCUACGAGCACUGGGAGGUGUCUUGGAAGAUAUUCCAGAUCUUGUCAGGCCAGCUUUAGGUAAGGCUGGGUGUGAAAGCAAUGACCCCACCAGCUACAGGCUGUGGCAGCCCCAGGAGGUGAAUCAGGAGUGGCAGCGCUGUGCCCCAGUCUGGAUCUCUGCCUGCUGGGACCUGCAGGACAGGGCUUAAAAAGGAAGACAGCAGUGGAUGAAAGGCUGGGAGAAAUGCUCUCUUAGAUCAUUCUUUCCCUAGGAACCCUUGUAUGGAGAAAUGUAAUACUGGAUUUCUUUCAGAGGCCUCAGAGGCUAUGGUUUUGGUAAAGCUAAAGUGGGAUAUUAUCCCCGAGAAACCAUCAGUGUAAAUAUCCAUUUUAAGCCACUAGAGUAGAUUGAAACAUUGCAUUUGAAUUACUUGUAAUAGCUAAUUUGUUGAUCUACAUAAAAGGUUAGCUGCAAUUUCAAAGCAAGUUCUAUUAGAUUUUAUAUAAUGAGACACUUUAUUACAUUAUAAGACAGCAGAUCCCGUUGUUUGUGUGUUGUUUCAAGUGCUUUACUCUGCUGUUGAGACCUUGCCAUCACAGUCUUGGUGUCUGUGAUCUGUUCUGUGGGUCAAAAAUGGGCAUCAAAGGACUUUUUUUUUUUUUUUUUUGAGUCAGACUUCAUUGUUACAAAGGCUUUGAGAAAGUUUCUGGUAUUUUUGUACAGGAAACUUGUAGGAGACAAAGCAAUAACAGGCUGAAAAAUAAAAAGCUCUUUCCCAAGUAGCAUAAUAUCACUCUAACCUCAGGCUGUAUUACAGUGAAAAUUACUAGCUAGGGUAUUUUAUUAAAAUAUUUUCUAUCAAUCUGCCUAUUACAUUAUAUGAGAAAAAGUUAAAAGUGACAUGUUUGCAUUGUCUAUCACAGAGGUGCCAUUUUCUCUGACAGACAUCUGUUACCUGAUGAUCAUUACCUCACACUUCUUAAUUUUCUAGUCCAACUCCUAAUAAGGUCUCCAGCAUGGAAGGCUCUGUUCAGCAGCAGGCUGGGAAACAUUCUCCUGCUCUUUUGCAGAGAAAAUUUCCAGGACUUGGUCUCCAUUAAAAGAAAUGAUCAAGUUUGUGCUCCAACAGUUCAUGAUUUUCAAAAACAUGCUGCUAUUUUAAUGUUCAUGGUAUUUUCCCCCUAAAUAUUUAGACUGUGUCAUGGCAACAGCUGCUUUUAGUUCUAAAUUUGUUUUCCCAUCCUUCAUUUAAGAAAAAAAUGGCAGUUUCAAUUUAUUCUCCUUAAAUGUAAAAUUCAGUAUUUGAAACUUUUAUUAACUAUAAACAGCUAUACCAAUGGUUUGUGAUCUGCUUUGCAGUCUCUAUCCAAAUGGAAAUUACUAUAUUGAUUGCUAUUCAUUAUGAAGAGGCACCUAAAACUACAAGAUAAAGGCAAAUAUAAAGGAUGUACAAUACGUGCUGUAGGUUUUUUGGAAGGGGGAUGACAAGUAGAGGGUAAGUAGCAAAAUUAGCAUUCCCAGUACAUAUUUAAAAAUCAAGAAGUAAGCUAAAAAUAAUUGUAUCAUAACAGGGGCAAUCAAUGGUCCAAUUUUUUCCAGUGCAUGAGUGCAAAGCAGAUUGAAUAACUGAAUGUACAAAUUCUUGAUAUUAACAGCUGAACAUUUUAUUGCCCGAGACAGGGCUAAGGAAAAGGACAUUAAAGAUCCUUAAAUGUAACUAUUAACAAAUGUUCCACAAUUAAUUGUUACUACUGUCAUUAUUGCUAGUAUAUUUGAAGAGUGCUGGAAGUAAAAUGCAGUGGAUUCCACAAUAGGUAAUUCCUGAGUGCAUUUGGAUGAUUUCUUACCUUGGUCAAAAUAAGAAGAGACUUAAUUGUGAUGCAGAAAUCCUACCUUCCUUUUUAGAAUAGUCUGAUCAGGAAGUAAAUCAGUCAAACAAAUUUAAUGAAAAAAGUGCAUGCAAGUCUUUUGCCUACAUAAACAAUACACAGGACCUUAAUGGGUAUUUUAUUAAAAAAUAAACUGUUCUACUCAAAUUCUGAUUACCAACUGAUUGUUAUAAAUAUUUAUUCAACUUGCAUAUAUUUAUAAGGGAACAGGACAAUGUACAGAUAUAAAAAGGUGCAACGACUUAAUAUAAAAAAGGAAACUGUUUUGACCUUUUUAAAAACUUAUUAAGUCUGAGAAAACCCUACUAUUCUACUACCUAGUAAUACUGAGACUUUACAGUUAAGUUGAAAUAUGCUGCUAGUUUUAGCUCUGAAGUGCCACUGCUUCAUGCAGGAUGGUUAAGGCAAGAUAUGUACUAAUGGCUGAUGGAGAACAAAAAUAUUUAUAAUUGGAUUGUGCUUAUUAUCAAGAAACUACACCUUGCCACAGGAGGAAAAUACACAAUAGACAUACAGAUAUUUUAUACUAGUUUAUUCUAUACCACACCUUCCCCUAUUUGUUUCCAAGUGAGAGUAUGAAUCUAUACAUGCCACUGUGUGUAUUGAUUUGCA